AUGAANAGGUGGAAUUCGCACAUAUUGAGUUGUACUCUUACUUUUUGUUAUUUGAUUCCUCGAAAAUUAAUUGGAAGACCGGGAUUAGAUACCCCGUUAUUUUUUUUAUAAAUUUUGAUUGUUGAAUGAUUUACCUGAGUAUUACGGGUUAAGAUAUUUUGUAGCUUGUAUGGUUUAUAAAUUAUCUGGGUACUUAAAACUCAAAAAACUUGGCGGUGCCUUAUUUCCUCCCAGGGGAACCUGUCCUGUAAUCGAUGAUCCGCGAUUUAUCUUACUUUUUUUUGAAUGCCAUUAAAAGGACUAUCAGUUUGUAUACCGUCGUCGUCAGAUUACCUUUAAGAGUAAAGAAGUUGUCGGUUGAAUUAGGGAAUUUGUUUAUUUAUUUUUAAAUUAUUUACAAAGUCAAUUUUUGAUGUCAGAUCAAGGUGCAGCUAAUAGAAAAGUAGAGAUGGGUUACAAUGUAAAUUUUAUAUUAUGGAUAUUAACUUGUAAGAGUUAAGUGAAAGUGGACUUGGAAGUAAUUUUACUUUAUAUAUAAAUUAGAAAGUUUGUGUGAAUAAAGGUACUAAGGUGCGC
RNAcentral lists this ribosomal RNA (576 nucleotides) under Phorcus lineatus. Its description in RNAcentral is "partial 12S ribosomal RNA". Lineage: Eukaryota; Metazoa; Mollusca; Gastropoda; Trochida; Trochidae. The record is from RNAcentral.